AGUGAACGCUGGCGGUAGGCCUAACACAUGCAAGUCGAACGGCAGCACAGGAGAGCUUGCUCUCCGGGUGGCGAGUGGCGGACGGGUGAGGAAUACAUCGGAAUCUACUCUGUCGUGGGGGAUAACGUAGGGAAACUUACGCUAAUACCGCAUACGACCUACGGGUGAAAGCAGGGGACCUUCGGGCCUUGCGCGAUUGAAUGAGCCGAUGUCGGAUUAGCUAGUUGGCGGGGUAAAGGCCCACCAAGGCGACGAUCCGUAGCUGGUCUGAGAUGAUGAUCAGCCACACUGGAACUGAGACACGGUCCAGACUCCUACGGGAGGCAGCAGUGGGGAAUAUUGGACAAUGGGCGCAAGCCUGAUCCAGCCAUACCGCGUGGGUGAAGAAGGCCUUCGGGUUGUAAAGCCCUUUUGUUGGGAAAGAAAUCCAGCUGGCUAAUACCCGGUUGGGAUGACGGUACCCAAAGAAUAAGCACCGGCUAACUUCGUGCCAGCCGCCGCGGUAA
RNAcentral lists this ribosomal RNA (506 nucleotides) under uncultured bacterium. Its description in RNAcentral is "partial 16S ribosomal RNA". It matches the Rfam family "Bacterial small subunit ribosomal RNA", at positions 29 to 523 of the family's 1533-position model. The record is from RNAcentral.